RNAcentral lists this transfer RNA (78 nucleotides) under Pyrodictium abyssi. RNAcentral's name for it is "tRNA-Arg". It matches the Rfam family "tRNA". Rfam says of the family: Transfer RNA (tRNA) molecules are approximately 80 nucleotides in length. Their secondary structure includes four short double-helical elements and three loops (D, anti-codon, and T loops). Further hydrogen bonds mediate the characteristic L-shaped molecular structure. tRNAs have two regions of fundamental functional importance: the anti-codon, which is responsible for specific mRNA codon recognition, and the 3' end, to which the tRNAs corresponding amino acid is attached (by aminoacyl-tRNA synthetases). tRNAs cope with the degeneracy of the genetic code in two manners: having more than one tRNA (with a specific anti-codon) for a particular amino acid; and 'wobble' base-pairing, i.e. permitting non-standard base-pairing at the 3rd anti-codon position. The record is from RNAcentral. Lineage: Archaea; Thermoproteati; Thermoproteota; Thermoprotei; Desulfurococcales; Pyrodictiaceae.
GGGCCCGUAGCCUAGCUAGGAUAGGGCGCCGGCCUUCGGAGCCGGAGGUCCGGGGUUCAAAUCCCCGCGGGCCCGCCA